Molecule: non-coding RNA, 45 nt
Organism: Schistosoma rodhaini
Lineage: Eukaryota; Metazoa; Platyhelminthes; Trematoda; Strigeidida; Schistosomatidae
Source: Rfam
AUCCAGCUGACUAGUCCCAAAUAGGACGAAACGUGCAUCCUGGAU